UGAACGACUCUUGGCGACGGAUAUCUUGGCUCUUGCAUCGAUGAAGGACGCAGCGAAAUGCUAUACGUUGUGUGAAUUGCAGAAUCCCGUGAACCAUUGAAUUUUUGAACGCAAGUUGCGCCCAAUGCCAUUUAUAGGCCGAGGGCACGCCUGCCUGGGUGUCAUUC
This 167-nucleotide ribosomal RNA is filed under the name Phoradendron brachystachyum. RNAcentral's name for it is "5.8S ribosomal RNA". It matches the Rfam family "5.8S ribosomal RNA". From Rfam's summary of the family: 5.8S ribosomal RNA (5.8S rRNA) is a component of the large subunit of the eukaryotic ribosome. It is transcribed by RNA polymerase I as part of the 45S precursor that also contains 18S and 28S rRNA. The record is from RNAcentral. Lineage: Eukaryota; Viridiplantae; Streptophyta; Magnoliopsida; Santalales; Viscaceae.